Molecule: ribosomal RNA, 229 nt
Filed under: Peribacillus sp.
Lineage: Bacteria; Bacillati; Bacillota; Bacilli; Caryophanales; Bacillaceae
Description: partial 16S ribosomal RNA
Rfam family: Bacterial small subunit ribosomal RNA
Source: RNAcentral
CGCGCGCAGGUGGUUCCUUAAGUCUGAUGUGAAAGCCCACGGCUCAACCGUGGAGGGUCAUUGGAAACUGGGGAACUUGAGUGCAGAAGAGGAAAGUGGAAUUCCAAGUGUAGCGGUGAAAUGCGUAGAGAUUUGGAGGAACACCAGUGGCGAAGGCGACUUUCUGGUCUGUAACUGACACUGAGGCGCGAAAGCGUGGGGAGCAAACAGGAUUAGAUACCCGUGUAGU